Oncorhynchus nerka (sockeye salmon) is the source of this 4200-nucleotide long non-coding RNA. RefSeq lists it as uncharacterized. The record is from RefSeq and is a predicted model, not a curated record. NCBI's taxonomy places the organism in Eukaryota, Metazoa, Chordata, Actinopteri, Salmoniformes, Salmonidae. The transcript is spliced from 3 exons.
GUUAAAUCUCAUAGAAGAAGUGCAGUGACGUCCCAAGGAUCCCGUAUAGAUAUCGCCACUAACUACCACAGAGUAAUAACCUCACCAGUAUUACCAUUUCUCAUCUUAAAAUUAUUUAAACGUAACCACACUGCUAACAUUAUGACUAACCUUGAAUUAAGACCAAAAAAACAAAUGAUUGUUUUCAAAAAAAAUUACGUAUAGCCAAUGUUGACUUUGUGGCAACCGCAUCCAGGCCAGCGUCUUCAGAGAAAAGGCAGUUUUCUUGGAGAAGCAGGAGAGCGAGGACAUGUCCUAGAUAAGUUCUGGGCACCCUGGAGGCAACACUCAGCUUUAUUUUCAUGUGAGCAUCAGCACAUAUCACACGGGAAGUGGGCAAAGUGUCCGAGACAUUGCAAAAGCUUGCUGUCUAACCGGUCGUGGUUGUGACGUGAGUAGGGCAAUAUGAGUCGGGAGAGGGAAACAUUGUUGGAUGAAAUUGAACUGAGUUUAUAUACUUUAUCUGAGGACAAUUUACAUUACUUGUGCGACCGUUGUGGAAUAGGGGGCAAGGAUGGAUCAGAAGUCAAAGGAAAGAGUCAACGCUCAUUGCGUCGUAUAGUAGGGGAGUAUUGUGAAAAUGUAAUCAUAAUGGAUUCAGAGGACCAGGGAAUCUCUCAGUUACUCCAACUGAAAGAAGACAUCAAAGGAAUACAGAAAGAUGCUAGCAAUGUGCCAACAAGUCCCAGCCAGUCAGCGACUGUAGAGGUGGACAGCUCACAAGCAAGCUGCGAUGGUGAACCGAAUGAGGGAGGGGUUUGGCUACCCAACAACAGGCAGUUGGCGGAUCCAGCUCCAGAGUGGCUCAUUAUACCCCAGCAGAGGGAGUCACUAGUUCCUAGUUGUGACAGUGGAGCCCAGUCGUUACAGCAGGAUGCAACACUGCUGCUGGAGGACUGCAGGUUUAUGCUGGGGCAGAGAUUCAACAUCAAAGUGGAAAAGGAGGAGGAUAUGAUUUCAGUCUUUGCUAAUGCAGGAGUGUGUCCUCCUGAGUCCUCAGACUCAUCAGUGGAGGCAUUGUCUACAUCAGGCAUGCAACACCAGGAAGUUGACAAAGGAAAGAGCCUUCAACGUAAGAAGAGCUCCACAAAACUAUCACACCCUCAACGACACCUGCAGGCACAUUCUAGAAAGACGUCUUCCCACUGUUCAGAUAGCGAUGAAUGUUUCUCUUCUGUGAGUUCUUACCAAUGCACUGAAUGUAAGAAGAGAUUCUCUAGCAAUGCAGGUCUUCAAAAACACAUGCGAAUACAUAGUGGUGAGAGGCCUUUCCAGUGCUCACAGUGUGACAAGAGUUUCAUUAAUAGUUCAAAUCUUUAUCAACACCUGCCAGUGCACUCUGGAGAGAAGCCUCACCACUGCUCUGACUGUGGGCGAACUUUCUCUACAGUGCGGUAUUUAACGAAACACAAGCGGCUACAUUCAGGGAUUAAGCCUUUCUGUUGCCAUCAGUGUGACAAGAGGUUCGUCAGAUCAGACCAGUUAAAAGUCCAUAUGAUGGCACAUACUGGGGAGCGGCCUUACCAAUGUGGUCAGUGUGAGAAGAGUUUUAAAAUGAAGUCAAAUCUUAAAGACCACCUGUUAUUACACAAGGUGGAGAUGUCUCACCACAGCCCUGACUGUGAUCAAAGUUUCUCCACUGAGGAAACUUUAAAGGAACACAUGCUGUUACACACGGGAGAGAAACCUUUCCACUGUCUGCAAUGCGACAAGAGGUCAAAUGAGUUAAAAGAUCAUAUGAUGACUCAUGAGGAGCAGCCUAGUUCUGCUAAUAGGUCACCAAGUUCCAGACAUGAAGAACAAAAAUGUCAGGAAAUGUCACUUGCUGUCAAAAAAAGCUCCGAUCUUAUUCAACACCUGCAAGUAAAUUCUGGAGAAAAGCCAUUCCACUGUCUGCAUUGCGAGAAUAGGUACAGUACUUCAGAGGAGUUGAAAGAACAUAUGAAGAUUCGUGCUGAGGAGCUGCCUGAUUCUCAGCCUGGUUCUGAGAAUAGAUCAAAUACCAGAAGUGUAGAAAACCAAUGUCAAGAGAUGGCUCAUACUGUCAAAAAACCUGACCAUAGCCCUGACUAUGGAACAGAUUUCGCUCAACAAGACAACCUGACAGAACACCAGCAAACACACACCGGGAAAAAGUCUCACCUCUGCCCUGAAUGUGGGAAAAAAUACCAUAGCGCUUCACAUUUCAAAGAACACCUGCGCUCACACACUGGUGAGAGACCUUACCAGUGUUCUCAGUGUGCAAAGACUUUCACAAAACAAAUACAUCUUAAGCGGCAUUUGUCCUCACACUCUGAAGAGAAACUUUACCAUUGUGAAAAUUGCAAUUUAUAUUUCCCAAAUGCAUUGGAAUUGAAAAGACACAAGCACACUGGAAAGAAGCCUCACCAAUGCUCUGUCUGUAGUGUUAGUUUCCCUUUAUUAGAAGAUCUAAAAGCACAUGAAAGGAUUCACACACAGAAUCCUCACCACUGCUCUGACUGCGGGCGAAAUUUCUCUACCGCAGGUUGUUUAAAGAAACACAAGCUGUUACAUUCAGGAGAGAAACCUUUCCACUGCACACAGUGUGAUAAGCGGUACACCAGAGCUGACCAGUUAAAAGAUCAUAUGAAAAUACAUUCUGAAGAGAAGCCUUAUCAAUGCCCUGUUUGUGAGAAGAAAUUCCAUGAUUCUAGCAAAUUAAAAGUUCACCAGAGAGCAGUGCAUACAGCAUCUUCUUACAUUUGCUCUGACUGUGGAAAGAGCUUUGCUCUACUGGGCAACCUUAAUGCCCACCAGCGAACUCACACUGGGGUAAAGCCUCACCAGUGCCCCAUCUGUGAAAAGAGAUACUCAAAACGAUCACAUCUUAAAGAACAUGUGCGUAUACACACUGGUGAGAGACCUUACCAGUGCUCUCAGUGUGAAAAGACUUUCACAACACAAACAGGUCUUAACCAUCACCUGUACACACACACUGGAGAGAAGCCCCGUCACCACUGUCCAGACUGUAACGAAAGUUUUACAUCUUGGAGACCUUUUAAGAGACAUAAACAACAACACACUGGAGAGAAGCCUCACCUGUGCUCUAACUGUGGUCUUACCUUCCUUAUAGAAGAAGACCUAAAAGCACACGAAAGGAUACACACUGGAGAGAAGCCUCACCACUGUUCUGAGUGCGGGAAAGGAUUAUCUUCAGAAGGUAAUUUGAAAAAACACAAGCGGUUACAUACUGGAGAGAAGCCUUUUCAUUGUACGCAUUGUGAUGAGAAGUUCACAAGAUCAGAUCGGUUGAAAGUUCAUAUUAUGUCGCAUAAUGGAGAGAAACCAUACCAAUGUCCUGAAUGUGAGAAAAGCUACAAUAAUUCCACCCAAUUGAAAAAUCAUCAGAGAAUAAUACAUAGACAAGAUAAACCAUACCUUUGCUCUGACUGUGGAAAGAGCUUUGGUAAACUAGGCAACCUUACAGACCACCAGCGAAUGCAUACUGGAGAGAAGCCUUAUGUCUGCCCUGAGUGUGGGAAACAGUUUAGCCACGGAAAACACUUAAAGAUACAUCAGCGUGAACAUACUGGAGAAAAACCGUAUCAAUGUCUUGACUGUGAGAAAUGUUUCACCCGGGUAGAUUAUCUAAAAAUACACCAGGUUACGCAUAGGCCUCCUCACAUGCGCUCUACUAGAGAUAAACCCCAUCGCUGCUCUGACUGUGGGAAGUGUUUCAGGCAGAUUUCUGGCCUUAGAGCACAUCAGCAAACCCACACUGGAGGAUCUCUUUAUGACUGUACUGGAUAUGAAAAGAGUUUUGUAAACCUGUAGAAUCUAAACUUGUGAGAAGCCAUACCACUGCUUUGACUAUGGGAUCAACAUUUCCCAAUUGGGAACCUUUUUAAGAGACACCAGGUCACAAAACACAAUCAUUGUCCUAUCUGAAUAGUAUGAUGGCCUGAACAUUGAAAAGGAGUGGUAAUUAUUACUAUGUUACCAUAGUAACUUUUAUUUUGCUACCAUGCUUAGAUCACCUUUUGUAGAUGGCAUGUGAAUAUACUGUUUACUUAGCGUAAGAUGAUGUGCAAUCACAAUAGAUAAGCUACAAUUAUCCUACUCAACUGUAACUUGAAGUGGUUUAAAUGUCUGUUUGGUCAAUUAUUCCGAUGUCAGAUAAUAAAGAUACUUUUCCUGUGA